This 61-nucleotide microRNA precursor is filed under the name Capitella teleta. Its description in RNAcentral is "Cte-Mir-10-P2_pre stem-loop". Lineage: Eukaryota; Metazoa; Annelida; Polychaeta; Capitellidae. The record is from RNAcentral.
AACCCGUACAACCGAACUUGUGUUUUCUGCGAAAGACCACAAGCUCGCUUUUACGGGUGUG